UUGACCUCAAAUCAGGUAGGACUACCCGCUGAACUUAAGCAUAUCAAUAAGCGGAGGAAAAGAAACCAACAGGGAUUGCCUCAGUAGCGGCGAGUGAAGCGGCAAAAGCUCAAAUUUGAAAUCUGGCGUCUUUGGCGUCCGAGUUGUAAUUUGAAGAAGGUAUC
RNAcentral lists this ribosomal RNA (164 nucleotides) under Candida albicans. Its description in RNAcentral is "partial 28S ribosomal RNA". It matches the Rfam family "Eukaryotic large subunit ribosomal RNA", at positions 1 to 163 of the family's 3401-position model. Lineage: Eukaryota; Fungi; Ascomycota; Pichiomycetes; Serinales; Debaryomycetaceae. The record is from RNAcentral.